Nycticebus coucang (slow loris) is the source of this 1506-nucleotide RNA transcript. It is a transcript of the gene named chromosome 18 C17orf78 homolog, with no coding region annotated. The record is from RefSeq and is a predicted model, not a curated record. The transcript is spliced from 7 exons. NCBI's taxonomy places the organism in Eukaryota, Metazoa, Chordata, Mammalia, Primates, Lorisidae.
CCAGGGCAGUAAAAGCAACUAGAGAUAAAGCUGUAAGAGGCUGUGACAGGUCAGUAGUCAAUUGUCUCUGCAAUGAGCAUGUGCUCAAACUAACAUGGAUACUAUCUUGGUCUUCAGCCUAAUCAUUGGAUCCUAUGAUGCCAACAAGAAAGAUGUCAGAGAUAGCAGUUGCCAAGUGGAACAGCUGCCUGGGCACUUCCCAAAGGAUGUGCGAAGCAUCAGGAAUUUGCUAAUCCAAGAAACUCACACAGAAACUAAAACAUUCAUCCAAAAUCAGACUGUGGCUACCCUGCAGUGCUUUGGCUCUGGGAGCAAAGUGAAAAUCAGCCACGUGUAUUUGGUGAGAAAGCCAAAAGUCAAGCAUAUUCUGAAGAACCUGAAAAUCAUUGCUGUUCCCCGCAGAAACAGCUCUGCCUCCCCAACCUGUCACCUAACCCCUACAUUCAAGUUUCCAACUAGAUCCCUUCUAACAGGCAAAGCUUUUUUACCAGGAAUCUCCCAAUGUAAGGUCUAUCCAGAGAUGGGGGCUUCAUCAGAGACUUUCCCCACCUCUCCCAACUCCAUUACUCCUGGGAAUAAAAGAGAAAAAACUACCACUAUAGACAUAGAUGAAAACCUCAAGAAGAGGCAGAAAUGGAGUAUUGUGAUCAAAAUUGUAAUUGCUUUCAUCCUUCUGCUCACUGGAGUCUCCAUUAUAAUAUUUGUAAUUUUUGAAGUUCCAUGUCCUUGUCAAUGCGUAAGAGCCAGGAAGCUGUGCCAGCGUCAGUGGUGGUGGAGAAGGCAAAGGCAGGGAGGCCAGAAACCUGGGACAGCUGAAUCCCAACCUGACUCUCAGCCUGAGAAGGAAAGUGCUUUCUGUGUGGUUUAUAUCAUUUGCUUAGAGACAACAGGGUUAACAUAUAAGUGACGGGAGAUAGGCAACUGCUUCAGUUAUGAAGAAAAAGUGAAUGAUUCUUUUAUACAUCAUAAAAUGGAAAUUUAUGUUUUCUUUUUCUUUUCCUUUUAUUUUCUGGUUGUAGUUUGGCUAGGGCCAGGUUUGAACGCACCAACCUUGGUAUAUGAGGCUAGCACUCUACUCACUGAGCCACAGGCACCACCCCAAGAAAAUUAUUUUUUUUAUUUUUUGAGACAGAGCCUCAAGCUGUCACCCUGAGUAGAAUGCCGUGGCAUCACACCUCACAGCAACCUCCAAUUCCUGGGUUCAAGCGAUUCUCCUGCCUCAGCCUCCCAAGUAGCUGGGACCACAGGUGCCCACCACAACGCCCAGCUAUUUUUCGGUUGCAGCCAUCAUUGUUGUUUGGCGGGCCCUGGCUGGAUUCGAACCCACCAUCUCAGGUGUAUGUGGCUGGCGCCUUAGUCGCUUGAGGUUGGACAAGAUGCUCGCUACACAUCAAACCCAAAGGAAGCUACAAGGAUCACUGUUAUCCACGAGACACACUUCUGAAAAGUCCUGCUCUGCCUCACACAUUGAACGAAUGACUCUACACUCUCUUCUCCCUGUUAAUC